CUCUGUCACUCAGGCUGGAGUGCAAUGGCACAAUCUCAGCUCACUGGAAACUUCACCUCCCAAGUUCAAGCGAGUCUCCUGCCUCAGCCUCCUGAGUAGCUGGGAUUACAGACAUGUACCACCACACCUGGCUAAUUUUUGUAUUUUUAGUAGAGAAGGGGUUUUACCAUGUUGGUCAGGCUGGUCUUGAACUCCUGAUCUCAAGUGAUCUGCCUGCCUUGGCCUCCCAAGGUGCUGGGAUUACAGGCGUGAGCCACUGUGCCCAGCCAAGAAUGGGCUUUGGAUUGGAGUUUAGGGUCAGCACAGCAUGGGUGUCACAAGCUUCCUCCUGUCCCCAGCUGUUCCGAUGGCCCCACUAUGGGGCUCCACUGGCUGGGGAGUGUCUGUCUGUGCAGGUGGUCAACUGCAGCCGUGUAUUCAGCCUUAGGCCUCUAGGGACCCUGGUGAUCUCCCUGCAGCAGCUACAGAAUGCUGGGCAUUUGGUGCUACGGGAAGCCCUAGUGGAUGAGAAUCUUCAAGUGUCCCCGAUCCAGGUGGAGCUUGACCUGAAGUACCAGCCCCCAGAGGGCGCUACUGGAGCCUGGUCAGAGGAGGACUUUGGGGCACCCAUCCAGGACAGCUUCGAGUUAAUCAUCCCCAAUGUGGGCUUCCAGGAACUGGAGCCUGGGGAGGCCCAGCUGGAGCGGCGGGCAGUGGCUCUAGGCCGCAGGCUAGCUCGAAGUCUAGGCCAGCAGGACGAUGAAGAGAAUGAGCUGGAGCUUGAGCUGGAGCAGGACCUGGAUGAUGAGCCUGACGUGGAACUUUCUGGUGUUAUGUUCAGCCCCCUCAAGAGCCGCGCCAGGGCCCUGGCCCAUGGGGAUCCCUUCCAGGUGUCCAGAGCUCAAGACUUCCAGGUGGGAGUCACUGUGCUGGAAGCCCAGAAACUGGUGGGAGUCAACAUUAACCCCUAUGUGGCCGUGCAAGUGGGGGGGCAGCGCCGUGUGACCGCCACACAGCGUGGGACCAGUUGCCCCUUCUACAAUGAGUACUUCUUGUUCGAAUUUCAUGACACGCGGCUUCGUCUCCAAGACUUGCUGCUGGAGAUCACGGCUUUCCAUUCGCAGACCCUCCCCUUUAUGGCCACCCGGAUAGGCACCUUCAGGAUGGACCUGGGCAUCAUCUUGGACCAGCCAGGAACCUGCUCCUGCCGCGCGGGGUGCCCGCCGAGAGGCCAUGGGCGCGGCUCCGCGUGCGCCUGUACCGCGCCGAGGGGCUUCCCGCGCUGCGCCUGGGGCUGCUGGGCAGCCUGGUCCGCGCCCUGCACGACCAGCGCGUCCUGGUGGAGCCCUAUGUGCGGGUGUCUUUCC
This is a long non-coding RNA of Homo sapiens (human), 1346 nucleotides long. The record is from Ensembl. Lineage: Eukaryota; Metazoa; Chordata; Mammalia; Primates; Hominidae.